UAUCGAGGGCCGGGCAUUAUUUGGAAUAUGUAGAGGGUUACUGGUGACAAGUCCAUCAUUGAUGUGUAUUGUUUGUGAUGUGCCACAUUUCAUAUGAGCAUAUGUUUAUUAAACUAUUUUUUUAUGGUUCUGCUCAGUAGGUUCUUAUAGCUUAUCUCUUUCCCCUAAUCCAUGUUUGCAGGGUCAAAAAUAGCUCGGGAAGUCGGCUAGAGGCUGGUAUAAGUUAUGUAAUAGUAUAGUAGUGGACAUGUGCUAUGUAAUGGAUUAGAUUUGUGUUUUGCCCUAGCUUAUGUUUUUUGUAAAUCCCUGUGAACAUGACUAUUAUGAAAAGGUUUUUUUUAUGAUGAGUUAUGUUGUACCAAGCUUGAUGUAUGUGAUGUUGACCAUACUAGAGGAUUUGAUGAGGGCUCUAGUGUGGGGUUUUAUGUAUACAGUAUAUGAUGAAUGCACA
RNAcentral lists this long non-coding RNA (451 nucleotides) under Manihot esculenta (cassava). Its description in RNAcentral is "long non-coding RNA (MESC_LNC002574)". The record is from RNAcentral. Lineage: Eukaryota; Viridiplantae; Streptophyta; Magnoliopsida; Malpighiales; Euphorbiaceae.